UACGUAGGGUGCGAGCGUUAAUCGGAAUUACUGGGCGUAAAGGGCGCGCAGGCGGCUCAUUUUGUCAGGCGUGAAAGCCCCGGGCUUAACCUGGGAACUGCGUUUGAUACGGAUGGGCUAGAGUUCGGGAGAGGAGAGUGGAAUUCCCAGUGUAGAGGUGAAAUUCGUAGAUAUUGGGAAGAACACCGGUGGCGAAGGCGGCUCUCUGGACCGAGACUGACGCUGAGGCGCGAAAGCGUGGGGAGCAAACAGG
This 253-nucleotide ribosomal RNA is filed under the name uncultured bacterium. RNAcentral describes it as "partial 16S ribosomal RNA". It matches the Rfam family "Bacterial small subunit ribosomal RNA", at positions 524 to 776 of the family's 1533-position model. The record is from RNAcentral.